Long non-coding RNA from Melozone crissalis (California towhee), 1331 nucleotides. RefSeq lists it as uncharacterized. Lineage: Eukaryota; Metazoa; Chordata; Aves; Passeriformes; Passerellidae. The record is from RefSeq and is a predicted model, not a curated record. The transcript is spliced from 3 exons.
AGCCCUGGCUUGGCUGCCCCAAGGGUCACAGCAGGCAGCUGAGUGUGGGGCUGUGACUGGAGAGAGCCAGUCCCAUUGGCUGUGUUGAUGUUGACACCUCCCUGUUCCCCACUCCCGUGCAGGAGCCAGGGCCAUGCCCCACAGUGGGGUCAGCAGCUCUGAGCCCCUUGCCCCUGUCCUUCUCGCUGCUCCCCAGGGAACUACAGCUGUGCCUUUCUGCAGGUUGAGGUGGGAUGCUCCUCGUGGCCCUGUGACCAGCCCUGUCACACCUUGGUGCCCACUGAUGACACCAGCUGACUCAAAGCUGGACCAGAAUCGCUGCAGAGUUCAGAUGUUUUAGGAAGGAGAUCCAGGGAGGAGAACCAAGUGAGGAGCCGCCUGUGGAAGCUGGAUGGGGCUGCCUGGAGCCCAGCCCACCUCAGCCACUCUGCCUGGAUGGAGCUGUUGAGAGCACAGAACCAGAACCAGGCCCUGAGGCCCAGAGCUGGCACGAGCACCGUGGGGCAUCACCUGGAGCUGCUGGCCAAGGAUGUGGGAGGUCCUGCAGUGCCAGGUGAGAGCGCACCUGCAGAGCUGCUCCAGCUCUGGGACCUCCAACAUCAGAAGAGUGUGGAGCAACGGGUAUGAGUCCAGAGGUGUCAGAACUCAGUACAUCCCUCCGGGUGUCCAGAGUUGCCGAGGACCCCACUGGGGGGCUCGGAGACCUUGGCUUGCUGCCCAGAACACCUGGGGAUUUGAUUUUGACCCUUGGAGCAAGUUGCCAACUUUGUAUGAGGACAUGAAGGUCACACAGGUUUGAACAGUGUAAUAACAAAAUGAUCCUAGGGUGAAAAUGUAGAUUUUAGGAUUUUUGGUAUAGGGGUUAUGGGGACAAGAUGGAGGAAUCAGGGCGUGUCUAGCCUUCCUUCUUCUUCUUCUUGUUCUCCAUUUUCUGCUGUGAUGUUGGUACUUUGGGAUUGGUUUAGAGAAGAAGUGCACUGUCCAACAUAGGUGAUAGGUAUUGGGAAUUAAGUGUAAAUAGGAAAUACGUAGUUUGUAGUAUAAAAGGACAGCACCGCCUUGGGGGCGGUCAGAGUGCUCAUGGCUGCCCUGCAGAGCGGAUCUCCACUGGGCAGAAAGAAAAUUUUAUAGAUAAGAAUUAAUAAACAACCUCAAGACCAAAAAGUGAAGAGUCCAGACUCAUUCUUCAGUUGUGCAGAGACAUCCUACGCAUCUUGGGGCAGCAAUUACCAACAGCAACCCAAGAUUUGGCAUCCCUGGCUGGGCACGUUCCAAGGGGGCACUGAUAAACCUCUUGGGAAGCAGCCAGAACAGCCUGGGAAGCAGCAGCC